UACGGGGGGGGCAAGCGUUGUUCGGAAUUACUGGGCGUAAAGGGCCAGUAGGCGGCCAACUAAGUCGGAUGUGAAAUCCCCAGGCUCAACUUGGGAACUGCGUCCGAUACUGGAAGGCUUGAAUCCGGGAGAGGGAUGCGGAAUUCCAGGUGUAGCGGUGAAAUGCGUAGAUAUCGGGAGAACACCAGUGGCGAAGGCGGCGAUCUGGGAAGAUACUGACGCUGAGGUGCGAAAGCGUGGGGAGCAAACAGG
RNAcentral lists this ribosomal RNA (252 nucleotides) under uncultured bacterium. RNAcentral's name for it is "partial 16S ribosomal RNA". It matches the Rfam family "Bacterial small subunit ribosomal RNA", at positions 524 to 776 of the family's 1533-position model. The record is from RNAcentral.